Molecule: ribosomal RNA, 467 nt
Filed under: uncultured bacterium
Lineage: Bacteria
Description: partial 16S ribosomal RNA
Rfam family: Bacterial small subunit ribosomal RNA
Source: RNAcentral
GACAAACGCUGGCGGCGUGCUUAACACAUGCAAGUCGAACGGAAAGGCUCCAGCUUGCUGGAGUACUCGAGUGGCGAACGGGUGAGUAACACGUGGGUAAUCUGCCCUGCACUCUGGGAUAAGCCUGGGAAACUGGGUCUAAUACUGGAUAUGACCUUUCUCCUUAUGGGGUUUGGUGGAAAGUUUUUCGGUGUAGGAUGAGCCCGCGGCCUAUCAGCUUGUUGGGGGGGUGAUGGCCUACCAAGGCGACGACGGGUAGCCGGCCUGGGAGGGUGAUCGGCCACAUUGGGACUGCGAUACGGCCCAGACUCCUACGGGAGGCAGCAGUGGGGAAUAUUGCACAAUGGGCGGAAGCCUGAUGCAGCGACGCCGCGUGAGGGAUGACGGCCUUCGGGUUGUAAACCUCUUUCAGCAGGGACGAAGCGUAAGUGACGGUACCUGCAGAAGAAGCACCGGCUAACUAUGUG